GGCGAACUCUCAGAUGCCUCAGCACCCUCCCACCCCUUCCUCAGGCAGAACGAGAUCUUGUGGCGGGAGGUGGUGACACUUCGGCAGAGCCACGGUCAGCAGCACCGGGUCAUUGGCAAGCUGAUCCAGUGUCUCUUUGGGCCACUUCAGGCGGGGCCGAGCAAUGCAGGAGGCAAGAGAAAGCUGUCCCUGAUGCUGGAUGAGGGGAGCUCAUGCCCAACACCUGCCAAGUUCAACACCUGCCCUCUACCUGGUGCCCUUCUGCAGGACCCUUACUUCAUCCAGUCGGUAGGUUUGUCUUCUUCCCCCUUCCCAAGGGCAUGGCUGGGCUUAUGGAGAGCCUGUUCCUUCUCCCCAU
Molecule: small RNA, 358 nt
Filed under: Pan troglodytes (chimpanzee)
Lineage: Eukaryota; Metazoa; Chordata; Mammalia; Primates; Hominidae
Description: retained intron
Source: RNAcentral